This 568-nucleotide long non-coding RNA is filed under the name Bos taurus (domestic cattle). RNAcentral's name for it is "long non-coding RNA NONBTAT001004". Lineage: Eukaryota; Metazoa; Chordata; Mammalia; Artiodactyla; Bovidae. The record is from RNAcentral.
UGGGCGAUUCAAGUGAAAACAGAAGACAAUAAAAGGAAAGAGAACUUUUAAAUCUGUUUUCUUUAAGUAGUUAUAUACUAGUCAUUGGUAUGAGAUAGUGCCUGAACCUUACCCACAGAUCAAGAAAAAAGCUGACCAUGCUGCUACAAACAAUAAAAAUUUGGGGUGCAAAACAAUGCAUGACUAUGGGACAGAUCAUGUAAAUAAAGAAUAUAUAUUAAUGAUAGUUUCUAUAAUAUAAAUAGCCGUCUAGGAAAAAAAAAAACAAAACUCAAAAUACCACUUUGUAACAGGUCUCAUUUGUGACUGCUUCCCAAACUUUGCAGAUAAGACCCCAAAUCAUCAAAAGGUUUGAUUUAUUAAAAAAGAAAAGUCUCUGUUGAAAUCUCAAGAGUCCCUUACACCCCAAGCAUUUUUCUUCAUCAAACAAGGAGUCAAAAACCCACUUCAAACUAUAAAUUGAACAGCAAUGGAAAAAUAAGAAAUUUUCAUUAUUUUCCAAUCUUAAAGUAAUUUAACAUCAAACUCCAGUUUACUUGGACCUAAUGCAAUAAUAGAUUUUGUUGUG